UUGACCUCGGAUCAGGUAGGGAUACCCGCUGAACUUAAGCAUAUCAAUAAGCGGAGGAAAAGAAACCAACUGGGAUUGCCUUAGUAACGGCGAGUGAAGCGGCAAUAGCUCAAAUUUGAAAGCUGGCGCCUUCGGCGUCCGCGUUGUAAUUUGUAGAGGAUGCUUCGGCGAGGACUCCUGCCUAAGUUCCCUGGAAUGGGACGUCACAGAGGGUGAGAAUCCCGUAUGUGGCGGGCGGUCCAAGCCAUGUGAAGCUCCUUCGACGAGUCGAGUUGUUUGGGAAUGCAGCUCUAAAUGGGAGGUAAAUUUCUUCUAAAGCUAAAUACCGGCCAGAGACCGAUAGCGCACAAGUAGAGUGAUCGAAAGAUGAAAAGCACUUUGGAAAGAGAGUUAAAAAGUACGUGAAAUUGUUGAAAGGGAAGCGCUUGCAACCAGACUCGCUCGCAGUUGCUCAGCCUGCCUCUUGGCGGGUGUACUCUUCUGUGAUCGGGCCAGCAUCAGUUCGGGCGGCCGGAUAAAGGUGUCGGGAAUGUAGCACCCUUCGGGGUGUGUUAUAGCCCGGCGCGGAAUGCGGCCAGCCUGGACUGAGGAUCUCGCUUCGGCAAGGAUGCUGGCGUAAUGGUUGUAAGCGGCCCGUCU
This 639-nucleotide ribosomal RNA is filed under the name Phyllosticta sp. MUCC0409. RNAcentral's name for it is "eukaryotic LSU rRNA". It matches the Rfam family "Eukaryotic large subunit ribosomal RNA", at positions 1 to 654 of the family's 3401-position model. The record is from RNAcentral. RNAcentral also lists the same sequence under 1 other name. Lineage: Eukaryota; Fungi; Ascomycota; Dothideomycetes; Botryosphaeriales; Phyllostictaceae.